UUUAUAAUUUACGGUUUAUUACAAUUAAUAUAGGAACAAGUGUUAUUUAGUUACAUGAUAUUUAUGAAGGAUAUGUAUCUACAUUGCUAUCCUACAGGUUACUCGCGUGUUAUACACAUCGAGGUAAAUAACGUGGAGGAUUUAACAACUGGAGUCGCCUUUAAGAGCUUACUUCCUGUCGAAAACCUCGGCCACUGGUCAUAUUUAUUGUAUGUCUGACGUUUAUUUGACAUGGCUAUUUGUACUUUACCAGCCAGCUUAAGCAGCCAUAUAUUUGACGUGCCCCUCCUCCGCAAAAAUCAGCAGACUGUUUUGUACAGAAAAUUACAUACUUAAUAUCGCGUAGCAUAAAGGCGUCUCCAGUUAUUAAAUCCUUCAAGGUAAAUAACGUUGACUAAAAAUCAUUUUGGAAAAUUAAUUUUAUAUACAUUAGGAAAGUCGCUUUGGCACAAAACAGGUAGAAUAUACUUCACUUAACUAACGGCCACAUUUAUUUUUUACAGGUACGUGAACAUAUUAAAUUUUAGCAUACAUUUUGUGGAUCGAGCGACAAUUUGGUAAGUGUUUUUUUUUUUUGGAAAUAGUAUAAUAUACGUUAUAAUUUAUUCAUAAAUUUGUAAUCCCACCGAACUGACAGAGCUCAACGUGUAUUGCAAGUAUGUGCAUAUCAUAGUGGAAAAAGGUGGCUACAAAUUGUAGCGUAGCACCACAUGACAGCACAGUUGUAAGCCUAUUUAAACAUUAAGAAUCCCUAAUUGGCCUUCUAAAGCAGCAUUCAAUUUCAAACGUUGUCAAUCUCAUACUGGUUCAAUAUUAAUUUGACAUCAGUUGCAUUAUAUUUUAUUACUUGUACUUUCGACUUCAAAAACGACGAUAUUCUAUAUUUAUUCUAGCUUUUUAGGUAAAAGAGGUGCUGUCACAUAAUUAUUAUGAAUAUCCUAAAGUUUCAUAUCUAAGUGCCUUACUAUAUAACUUUUCAGCACUUUUAUAUUUAUCUCAAGUACACGAACAUGCCAGCUUCCACAAACUUUUCAACUCAAAACUUCCUACACUGGGUUGUAGUUGGCGAAUGAAGUUGGACAAAAAUUAGUUUAAUUAUGAAUAUUAAUAAAACCGUGUACAUCAUUCACAAUAAAAACUGCUUGGUUUGGAAUUUAAUCAUGAAUGUAUAACGGAUUGAAAAUUAUGUAAUUAAAUUGUUAAAAUUGUUUUUACUUCUCAAAAAGGGAUACUAUAAAAUAGAUGACAAACAACAAAAACGAUACAAAAAACGCCCAAGUUCAUGUUGGGCGACGCAUAAUGGAGGGUUUCGUAUCUUCAUACGAUAUAAUUACCAUUUUGCCUACGGUACCCGAAAUUUGAGCAAACUAUACAAUCGGAUAUUUUUUUUUUUAAUCGAAGCUAUAAAGGUUAGAAAUAAAUUAAAAGAGGAAAAAAUCCUUGUCUCGGGCGAGGCUCAAACUUGCGACUCUGGAUCACUAGCCCAUCGCUCUGAUGACUGAGCUACCGAGACUUCACCCGAGGACAGCGAAUAUUUCCACUCGAUGCGCCUUAGGAAGGCGUCUAGCGAUAAUGUAGAUGUCAUCUACCGUAAGAUUAAUAGACUUAUUAAAUCUCCUUGGUUUCUCUGUGUUAUUGUAGUGUGUGUGUAACCUUACCCACAAACACACGCGCAGCAUAGGUCAUUAUAGUAGGUAUUUAAAGCAAUGUACGUGAUAUUUAAGGCAUUAUACGUUUAAACUCGAACCUAGUUGUUUCCUUAAACGUCUAACCUCACAUGGGGAUCCUGCCAGUGCAGCACUGGUGGCGCGCGGCGCCAGACAGAAGACGAUCGAGAAACAAAAUUACAAAAAUAAUAACUACAAGGACAAUUAAAUUGUGUAUUAACAAUACCCUAAAAAGAACGAAAAACCUAUAGGACUUGUUAAAAAGUUACAGUGAACAUACGGGUAUUGUAACUGAGUGGAACUUUAUAUGGGAACUCUACAAAAUUAGUGAUAUAAUUAAGGUGAUAAUGGACGCAUUGGAAAAUUAAAGUGAGUAAGAACAUUUUCGCGGACUGUGAAGUGGAUAUAAAAAUUGUAUGUAAUGAACGAUGGUUGGAUGGAUGAUAGUUACAUAUCUGCGAAGCCUACGCUUAACCAACAAUGAAUUCGAAUAUAUGAAAGGUUCCUUUAUUU
This is a long non-coding RNA of Cydia pomonella (codling moth), 2180 nucleotides long. RefSeq lists it as uncharacterized. The transcript is spliced from 2 exons. NCBI's taxonomy places the organism in Eukaryota, Metazoa, Arthropoda, Insecta, Lepidoptera, Tortricidae. The record is from RefSeq and is a predicted model, not a curated record.